UACAGAGGUCUCAAGCGUUGUUCGGAUUCACUGGGCGUAAAGGGUGCGUAGGCGGUCGGGUAAGUCUGAUGUGAAAUCUCACAGCUUAACUGUGAAACUGCAUUGGAUACUAUUCGGCUAGAGAGUUGGAGGGGGGACUGGAAUUCUUGGUGUAGCAGUGAAAUGCGUAGAUAUCAAGAGGAACACCAGUGGCGAAGGCGAGUCCCUGGACAACUUCUGACGCUGAGGCACGAAAGCUAGGGGAGCAAACAGG
This 253-nucleotide ribosomal RNA is filed under the name uncultured bacterium. RNAcentral describes it as "partial 16S ribosomal RNA". It matches the Rfam family "Bacterial small subunit ribosomal RNA", at positions 524 to 776 of the family's 1533-position model. The record is from RNAcentral.